RNAcentral lists this unclassified non-coding RNA (2087 nucleotides) under Hevea brasiliensis (rubber tree). The record is from RNAcentral. Lineage: Eukaryota; Viridiplantae; Streptophyta; Magnoliopsida; Malpighiales; Euphorbiaceae.
UGGUUGGAGAUGUUCCAUGGGAGUAAGUUCUCUCUCGCAUAGCUUUCUUGUCUUACAAGGAGCACUCUUGUUUUAUCUAUUCUCAAGACUCACAAGGGUUUUUGUUCUUAUUGCAGAAUGUUUAUUUAUUCCUGCAAGAGGCUGAGAAUUGUGAGAGGAUCAGAAGGUAGAGGAUUGAGGCAUUGAGCUGUUCAUAGAAAGCUGGAGAACAUAUAAUCAUAUAUCUACCAAGAUGCAGCUAAAAAACACAGUGAUUCAGAGGAACAGACAUUAGUCUUGUGUUCCGCGAGAAGUCAGGUCUCUUGGAGAUUACAGGAGCAGAUUGAUCAGAUCAUUUUGGAAUUUUGGCUUUCGUCCUCUGGAUUUUUGAUCUUAUUAAUUUAAAGUUUAUAUACCGGGAAAAUAAUGAAGCAGCAAAAUUUUCGAGAUUCAAUUGUACAAAGGGGAAAAAAAAGCAUUAUUACUUUAUCUACAUCUCGAUAUGUAUCAUUUAGGAAUACAAAGACAGAAUUAUACUAUUUUCUUUUUUCGAGAAUUAAAUGCAUUUCAAUGAUAAAAAAUAAUAAUAUAAUGAAGACACAUGUUACCAUUACACAAAACUAUGCUUUUGCAAUUCAUUUUUUUGUUUGGAUUCAAGCCGUGGCUACAAGACUCUUGAAUGUGAUGUGAUUUUGCAACAAGGGGACAGGGAUUUUUCAGCAGGGUUCUAUACACAAGAGUAUUUCGUUCUGAAUGAAUUCACUUCAAAUCCUAAUUAAAUAGAUUACUUUAUUAAUUCUGUAUAAAGAUAAUUAUCAAACUGGAUCAUGAAUUGCCGAGCUCAUUAUAUUCUUGUGCUUCUUCGGACAAGCCGAAGCUUUUUCUUCAGUGGGUUCCCUUUUCUCCCACCGAAAGUGUGGGCUUCUUUCCUUCCCCAACCUCUAGAAGGGGUGUAGAUAUGUUUUGUGGGUUUUGUUCUUGAAAUAGCAGAUUCAGAGCUUCUCGGAAAGGGAUUUAAUAUGGUAAUCUGUUUCUAUGGUUAUAUGGGUUUGAUGUGGUUGGAUGCAGGUAUUGGCUUUGGGAGCAGAUCCAACGAGAGGUGACCAGAGGAUUAAGAGCUGGCGUUUUAGAUGCUAUUGUCGGUGCUCCAAGGCUGAAGGAGAGUGAGAUGCCAUACCCUCUAUUUCUCUUCUAUCCUAAAUCGAUGGUUUAUAGAGCACAAUAUUCCUUGAAAAGUGAUGCUAUGUUCAUUUGAGUUAUUGGGUUUCCUCUUGGUUCUAUUUAGUUGUUUCAGCAGCGCAUGAUUCUAAGGAAGCUUCUUUUCUUCUUGGUUUCCAGCAACAUCUCUGGUUCACAGGUUGUCCGACGAACAGCGUUGUGAUUUCUUUGAUCUAUGUUUGGUAAUGGGGCUAGGGGCUAAGGUUUUGCGGUUAAGGAUACUGAGCCUCUAUUGGCAGCCCUGCUAAUUGGUCAGAGAUGCUAAUGGGUAAGGGGUUCCUGUAUAAUCUGGGCUUUGACCUUCUCUUUGUAACUUUGCCUGUAUUGGGCAUUAAUGCAAUGUCUCUUGCAAUUCACAAAAAAAAAAAAAAAAAUAUUGCCGUUGAGUUACAUGCUAGAUAAGCUAAUCAAAACACGUUUCAUGCUUAUGUGUUGGGUUUGAAGGAAGAAAAAACUAAGAAAAAUGAGAGAGAUUUCCACUGAAACAGAGAUUGAUUUCUUUCUUAUUUUCACAGCUAUUUACCUCUAACAACUUUCACAUUAUCCCUCCACGCUCUUAUAUCCAGCAGAUACUUCCUUUUUAUGGGCAAAGGAAUGCCUUUUGCUAAUCAACAAAGCCCAUACUUACAUCAUGCUUAGGUAUGGCUAAAUUGCUUUUCUUGUAUUCAAACUAAAAAUCUCAUAAACCUCCAACAUUAUAUCCAAAGAGUUAUCCCUGACGAGCUAUAGGAGAAUAGAAUUGUUCUGAAUUCUGAUGCAGUCCCAUAUAAAAUGUUAAUUGGCUUGGGAGAGAAGACGGAAUUGUGGGCAACUGCAAAAUUUCCAUAAUCAUAAAAGUCUCCUACUAUCAAGAUCGAGUUACACUCAGUCUUGGCAUGUAAACACACACA